AAACGACUCUCGGCAACGGAUAUCUCGGCUCUUGCAUCGAUGAAGAACGUAGCGAAAUGCGAUACUUGGUGUGAAUUGCAGAAUCCCGUGAACCAUCGAGUCUUUGAACGCAAGUUGCGCCCAAAGCCAUUUGGUUGAGGGCACGCCUGCCUGGGUGUCGUGAAUCAUUCGCCCUUUCUCACCCCUUGCGUUGUCGCAAGGGUGGACCGGGUGCGUAAUGUGGCCUCCCGUGGGAUCGAUGUGCGCAUCAUUGAGGUGCGGUUGGCCUAAAAUCGAGCACGGUAGUCGCUUGCACCACGACUUCUGGUGGAUCGUCUCAGACACACGUGAGAUUUGGUCGUGUCGUGUGCUAGGCUGCUCGUGGGCUCCGGACUCGGAUGAUCUUUGGAUGCGAUCCCAGGUCAGGCGGGGCUACCCGCUGAGUUUAAGCAUAUCAAUAAGCGGAGGAAAAGAAACUAACAAGGAUUCCCUUAGUAACGGCGAGCGAACAGGGAAGAGCCC
RNAcentral lists this ribosomal RNA (501 nucleotides) under Memecylon caeruleum. RNAcentral describes it as "eukaryotic LSU rRNA". The stretch from base 5 to 160 matches the Rfam family "5.8S ribosomal RNA". The record is from RNAcentral. Lineage: Eukaryota; Viridiplantae; Streptophyta; Magnoliopsida; Myrtales; Melastomataceae.